This is a long non-coding RNA of Alosa alosa (allis shad), 999 nucleotides long. RefSeq lists it as uncharacterized. The transcript is spliced from 8 exons. Lineage: Eukaryota; Metazoa; Chordata; Actinopteri; Clupeiformes; Clupeidae. The record is from RefSeq and is a predicted model, not a curated record.
UGUUUACAUAUCCGUGUGGAGGUAUAUCAGGGCUCGUGCUGAUGCGAUGCAAGGAUGCCUGAAAGCUUUCAGUCCCUGCGCACUGGACGCAAGGGAAAUGAAAGUGCCGCGACGGAGAGCCCUGCCACGCGUCGGGGACGACAACACUGCAACUGAGCUCGGGGAUGGAGGGAGAGAGAGAGAGAGAGAGACAGGCUCCUGCGUGCUCCUGCUCAAAUGACCCGCUGGUCCUGCAAGACAAAAAAAGAGACAGACAGACAGAGUGAGAGAGAAAGAGGACCGGUCAUUUGACUGGGACGUGUCGCUGUGGCAGACCUGGGCCGAGGCUGAGAGAGAGCUGAUUGGAGGACGGCCAGCGGAACUUGGACGGCCCUGAGGAUGUUUAGCCCUCCCGCUGUGCAGCGGAGCAGGAGGCCAGUGUCCAGCCUUCCCCAGGGAAACAGCAGAAUGGUGCCACUGAGAGAUGAAUCCAGCCAACCCUGUGGCACAGAUGAGAGGAGCACCUCAUGCUGAGGUACACAGUACCAGAGGGCCCCCAGGAUGGAUGCCGUGUGAGGAUGUGGUCGCGGGAUGAUAGCUGAUGAAAGGCUGAGGGAUGGCGAUGGACUCCUGCACCCGGGCCUUGAAAGGACUCAUUUUGGGGGAGACGAGAGGUCAGAUCUUUGGGAGAGAAAGGAGAAGGGAGAGAAGAAAGCACAGAGGCGAAGCAAGAAAACAGACUUAAAAAGCUUUAGACUCUAUUCAAAGCAGGGAUACUCGGAGAGCGCAGGGGCUGUUGGCCGAGGCGGGCGGAUUGGGAGAUAAUGCCCGUCGGCAAAUGGAACAUGACCACUGUGUCCAGCAUGAACAACGACCGCCGCCAUUGUCUGAACCCGGGACGGGAUGAUACGCAGCGGCGGCGGCUGGGGUGUGCACAACAAAGCGGCGUCCACCCCCCCCCCACACACACACACACACACAAAUGGAGCCCCUCAGCAUAUUAAGUCAGCCCGGAUCGGA